This 1439-nucleotide ribosomal RNA is filed under the name Duplicibothrium sp. LRP3918. Its description in RNAcentral is "eukaryotic LSU rRNA". It matches the Rfam family "Eukaryotic large subunit ribosomal RNA", at positions 41 to 961 of the family's 3401-position model. The record is from RNAcentral. Lineage: Eukaryota; Metazoa; Platyhelminthes; Cestoda; Tetraphyllidea; Serendipidae.
UAUCACUAAGCGGAGGAAAAGAAACUAACCAGGAUUCCCCUAGUAACGGCGAGUGAAGAGGGAAAAGCCCAGCACCGAAGCCUGUGGUUAUUUGACUACUAGGCAAUGUGGUGUUUAGGCCGAUUCGUGGGAUUGCCGCUCCACUCGAAGUCCAGCAUUGAGUAUGGUCACUGGAUUUGGCCCAGAGAGGGUGAUAGGCCCGUACGGGUGGAGUUUCAGACAUGUAAGGCAGUUCACCAGGUCGACCUUCGAGUCGGGUUGUUUGAGAAUGCAGCCCAAAGUGGGUGGUAAACUCCAUCCAAGGCUAAAUACAAGCACGAGUCCGAUAGCAAACAAGUACCGUGAGGGAAAGUUGAAAAGUACUUUGAAGAGAGAGUAAACAGUACGUGAAACCGCAUGCAGGUAAACGGGUGGCGUCAAGCUGCAAUCCUGGAGAAUUCAGCCGGCUAGUGUGUCGUGAAUGCGCCUGUGCAUCAUCAGUCGGUGUAAGAUGUGAUAGUCUACCGGGCAACGGUAGGCCGGGCCGCAAGGUUCGGUUAUGUGUACCGGGUGGAAGCCGGAGCAUGCUAUUCAUCUGUUGGACUGGCUAGCCGGUGCACUUUCUCUAUGGUGAACACCACGAUCGGUGGAAUUGCCAGUCUGCUGUAGUCAAGUCGUAUUCGAUGGGUUCUUGCAAUUCAUUGGGUGCGAUCACAGGCAAUGUCAGUACACGGCGUAGAGGUGUCUCCACAUCUCUGCGUGUUAUCGGUUACUGCUUGUCAACGGGCCUGCCUAGUGGUUGUUGUAAUCGCCGCUGGGUGGCUUGGUGGACUACAGUGGUAAGAAUAACUGUGCAAGGCACCGGGGAUGUCGGCCUCAAUUGCACUUUGCAUACACAUUACAAGUGGUGUGGGGUGCCAUCGCUGCUUGCUUACUGUUGAGUCUGAUUGUCGUGUCGCCUGCACAAAGUAGGUCCGGCAGUGGCUUGAUGUAAGGUGGGUAGUUGGUGGUGCUUCGCGUGCAGAGUGUGGUGGGCCAAGUAAUCAGUGGUGCAGUGGUAGACGAGCUACCCGACCCGUCUUGAAACACGGACCAAGGAGUUCAACAUGUAUGCGAGUCAAUGGGUCCUACGAAACCCAAAGGCGCAGUGAAAGUAAAGCUUCGACUUGUUCUCGGAGUGAGGUGAGAUCCUGCCGUUACUCGCAUCAGCCUAUCAGGCUAAGAGCGGUGGGCGCAUCACCGGCCCGUCCCAUGAUGUGGCCGCUGGCUUGCCAGUGCGUCAUCGGGGCGGAGCAUGAGCAUACACGUUGAGACCCGAAAGAUGGUGAACUAUGCUUGCGUAGGUUGAAGCCAGAGGAAACUCUGGUGGAAGACCGUAGCGAUUCUGACGUGCAAAUCGAUCGUCAAACGUGAGUAUAGGGGCGAAAGACUAAUCGAACCAUCUAGUAGCUGGUUCCCUC